GUGUCCUUUGCGCACUUAAAGAGUGGCAUUAAUAGAGGCCAUCGUCGUCGUCGUCGUCCUCAUGCUUCCUUCCAUUUAUUUAUUUAAUCCCUUUUUUUCCUGUACGCCGCUUCAUUUUCCCUUAAUUCCGUCCCUUUCUGUUUCCUUCCUUCGCGGCAUUUUAUAAACGGGGGUGCCGGCCCGGCUAGAGAGAGGGAGACAGACAGAGAGCUCUGCGCAGCUCGACAAGGGUCGGGCAGGGAGGAGCAGGAGACGGGCGGCGGGAGGGGGGAGAAGAAGAAUUUCGAGAUUACCGUCACCUCACUCGACGCGUGAGCGUGUCACCUCAGAACUCCACCAUCAUCUAACCCCGCGCCGCCGCCGCCGCCACCACCUCAGGCUCAGCCUCCCCACCUUUCCUCCCUCCUUCCUUCCCCGCGGCCCCCGGUCCUUAUCACACACCAUCUCACCCGCGGAUUAAACCCCCGCCCCCCUUGCUUUCCGGGUCCGGGAACCGGCCUCCCUCCCGCCCCCAACCCAAGAGCCUGGCCGGUAAGUACCGCGGCACCUGGCCGAAUACCCCGCGAUCCCGGCCGCGGCCGCGGCCACGGAUGGCCCCGUGCGGCCACCACCAGUUCUACCUCUUGGGGUUGACCAGGUAGAGGCUCUAGAGGGGCCUCCUGCGGCUCCUGCUCCUGAAGGAGCAGAGGCCGCGGCCGCGGCGGGCGGCGGCGUUCCCGCCGGCGCCCUUCUUGCGGUUUGUCUAGUGGACCCACGACGAGGAGUUCCGCGUGGCGCGGCGGCCGACGGAGCGGAGCGACCGGAGGCGCCGGCAGUGGGAGCCGCGGCGGCGGUCCGCGGCGCACCGGCUGCCGGCGUGGCUACGGCUGCGGCCGCGGUGCGGGCCGAGCCGCCCGCUCUCGGGGCACGAGGCGAGGGCGAAGAUGCGGAAGUAAUCCCGGAAGGAGGAGGAGAGGGACGAGGAGGAGCGCCAGCUCGAGCGGCGCGCGAAGGUGCCGACCCUGGAGCGGCGGAGGCGGGACCGGGAGGGGUAAUAGCCGCAGCUCAGCGAGAUGCGGAGGACCGACGCGGAGGCGCGGCGGAUGGAGCGCGGCGACGAGGUCAAGGAGUGGCUGCGGACGCAGCACGAGAAGGAGUAGGUCUCGCGGCUGGCGGAGUAGGUCACGGAGCCGUCGAAGAUGUAGUGGCACUUCGCGUAGUUCGGGUCCGAGUUCAGGGGCCGCGACGGCCUGCGGCUCCUGGGGCUGCGGCCGAUGAUGGGGUACCACGAGCACGUCUAUGGUUACACGUUGCUCUUUCUCCACAUAGUCGUUAGUUAACGCCGGCAGACGUUGGAGCUAACCGGCUCCAGGUUGAAGAACCAAGUCCAAAAUCUACUGAGGCUGCUGGGCUGCUGCGUCAGCGAGUAGUCCCUCCUCCAGCGCUUCACCGUCGUCUGGCCCCGGGCCUAAGACAUGGCCGUGGCGCACGAGUCCCUGCCCAUGUUCCGGCCCUUGGAGUUCAGCCGGUACCGGACGUCGAUGCAGUUCCUAAUGCUUAAACAACGGUAGAAACUGCGACUGAAGGUUGGUUUGGGGCUGAAAAAUUUCGCGUGACACGGUGUAAAGUUCCUGUUACUACUUAACCCCGACCACGUUCGCUCUACCAGCAAACACUUGUUCCUACUCUUGAAUAACUGAGCCAACGUCUUGUAGUUAGAAACGAAGGUGAAACUCCACCUCGUCGUCCACUUACCACAGAAGAAUUUGAAGAAACCCAAGUUACCGUGCCGGCCGCACACCUCCUAGUUCCGCGACCUCCUCAGGCCGCCCACCUACCUCGCCUGUUGUCACCUCCUAUACCUGUAACGCCAAGCCCGCGUAGAGGUACCGACCUUCAAAUAGAAGGACUUGCUACAGCUCACGGUUACACUUGACGGUCUCAGUAUGCUCCGAAUGUCCUUCGUCGUUGUAGCCACCGUAAGGCCAGGUUACGUCGAUAAGUCCGAAACGUAUGGCCUGUAGUAGUUCAGGUUCCACAACAAUACGAGAAAAAGAACGUGGAUUCGUCUUACCUGAUGUUAAAUCUAUCACGAUAUUGGAUUGAUUCUACACCGUCCACUCUGCACGAGGUGAUUAUAAUUUUAACGACCGCUUUUGAGACUUUACAAUAAAGAAAACUUAACUCUUAACUCUCAUACAUUUGUGGGUUAAGUCGUACGCGAAGAGCGUAAAACACCGCCAGCGAAUCCAAUGUGAAACUUUUACGAAACAGUAGUAAACGGAAGUCGUGUGACGUUAAAAAAAAUCUUUUCCUCCUACUGGGGGCCGGAGACGUAGACCCGCUACGUAUGCCGGUGAAGUCGUGUGACGUUAUGUUCAUGAGGGAGACAUUGAAUUACAUUCUGUAAAAACGUCAAGUUUAAUUUGACGUUUUUGCAGAAUAUAAUUCAAUGUCUCCGUUAUAUAUUGUGGCACGGCAUGAACGAUAAUCUUAAACAAAAUCUUACGUCUUUAAAUUUAAGCACUGGCUGACACAAAUUUUGCGUUGACAAUAUUAAACAUAUUCCUACGUCCUCAAAUUUUCCAUUGACAAAAAUGUAAGAAAUAGACAAUAGUACUUUUAAUACAUGGAGAGAGAUUAUAUCAUCAUAGUUAAAUCAACACAUAAUUGAGACGAAACAAAAUGACGUCUAAAGCCACACCUUCUUUAAGUUGGACUAGAAGGAGAAGAAGGAUGAGGCCUUCGAGUAUGAUGGGAAGAUGAGGAAGUGCGAGAAGACGUAGUAGGAGGGCUACUGGUACAAACACGGGCUUCGGCUCGAGGGCCUGACCCAGCAUACGAUGUAGGGACGGGAAUACAGGGACGAGUUGUAGGACGGCAGGGGCUUCAGCAAGGGAAAGUAGUAGGGUAUGGACGAGAAGCUCUUGUGGUACAGCCACUGGUUCAAGUUGCGGUACUAGAGCCCGGACAAGGUCGAGCCGUCGCGGAUGCUCACCCAACACUGGUUCUUCAGCCCCGCCAGCAGCCUCCCGCUGGAGUAGAGGGACCGCCGCCGCGGCGGGUCCCUCGACGCCGUGGUGGGCUUCUGGCCCAGCCGCGGCUCGUACCUCCGCGACUACCACGAGUUCCUCGUCGGCUCGGGCUUCUUCCUUCCCUUCUUCGUCGUCUUCUUCGUGUUGGCCUAUAUGUUCUUCCUCGACCGCGACAGCGACGAGGACGACUGCCGGCGGCGAGCGUCGGACGACUGCUUCGUCCCAUAUGUGAAGAUGAAGGACGACAAGGUCCCGUAGAGGAAGAACAAUCAUCCGGAACUGGAGUAUCCGCUCGUCCAGCUUACUUUUUUCUUUUUACAUUUGUACCUGUGCUAUCUAAAAUUUUCCGUCACCAACCGUGGUUCCCUCACACUACAGGGCACUACCACAAGCUUCGAGAGCCGGCCCCAAGGUUUCCCAAAUACCCCAAUUGGCGCCGCCGCGGCCUAGCCGGUACCGCGGCCGGCGCUCGUACCAGCCUUACCUACUCUAGCUCUCUCUCUCCCCCAAGACCAGGAGCAUUCUUACACAUCUAUAUCGGAACGCCUAGACGACUCGAGGAACGUUCGUCCGUAGAGGCAAGGUAAGAAAACAUCGCUCUUUAAAAACUACAACAGACACCCCUAGUACAGGGUCCUAGCCAGUGCCAACUAGCGACUGCUUUUUGGUCUUCCACCGUCUAACCCUCGGCAGGCAUUUUUGAGUAUACCAGGAUGGACGUCACACCGUCUAGGAACAAUGGUCCACCACGUACCAACUAGACCAGUUACACAAACCCAACCGUGGCCGUUUCCACUCUGGCGGGACCUCCCGCAGUGUACUACCCACCGAAAAGCACAC
RNAcentral lists this ribosomal RNA (3854 nucleotides) under Triticum aestivum (bread wheat). Its description in RNAcentral is "partial small subunit ribosomal RNA". Lineage: Eukaryota; Viridiplantae; Streptophyta; Magnoliopsida; Poales; Poaceae. The record is from RNAcentral.